CAGGGAAAGUGAAAUGAGAGAGAGAAUAGGAGACGACGAAGAAAAGGGGGGAGAAGAAGGAGAAGAAGAUGGAGACAGAAGACGAAGACGAAGACGAGGAGGAGAAGAAGAAGAGAGCAGACGAAGAAUACCUCAGCUUCUUCAAUUGAUCUGAACAGGGUAGAAAUGUCGACGCCUUGAUUUUGUAUUGACAAGCUGUGCCCUCUGUGUCUCAGAUCCAAAUAUGAUUUUCCUUUGCCCUUUAGGUAUUUUGGAGCCGCAUCCUGGAGCUAUCGACAGCAGCCUAAGCAAGUCACACCUGGAAAUGGGCAAACCAGAAAAACAGAAGCGCACAGUUACAAUUGAUGAAAUGGUGGGAGGAAGAAAGGAAAGUAUUCUGUGGACGAGCAGACUCAUUCAUUGCACUCAUGCAUCUUGUCCAAGGGGUGAUGCAUAGGGAUUUGAAGCCUGAGAAUUUCUUGUUCUUGAGCACCGAUGAGGACUCGCCGUUGAAAGCUACUGACUUUGGGCUUUCAUUGUUCUACAAAUCAGGAUAUUGUAAUACUUGGAAGAAAAAUGCUCUGUUUGGUACUUGUGGGAGGAAGGAAAGAAGCCAAAGGGAAGGGGAGAGCUUGGAGGUUCUGUUAGGCUGGAUUUGGAUUAUGGAUUUUGGGUAGGAAUUUUGAAAGGGAAAGGAAAAUAUGAAUGAAAUAUAUACUAAAUUUUUUCUCCAUUUCCUUCACCUUUUUCUUUCCCUUCUCGAAUCCAUUAUUCACGUGUUAAGAAGGUUUUAAAAGAUUGUAUUUUAGUGCAAUAAAGAAUGUAUAAUUCUUUUAAGCCUUUUUAACAUGUGCCCUGGGGGCGCAUGUGUUAACAAAAUCCUUUCUCUUAUCGACAAACAACAAGCUUGUGUUGUGUUGAACAAAUGAGGGAGAAUUAUUGUUCCUUUACUGCUACCAACCUUUUUAUAUCUCCUAUUUAAUUUGCCUCUUGAUUUCUAUCCA
Camellia sinensis is the source of this 983-nucleotide RNA transcript. RefSeq lists it as uncharacterized. The record is from RefSeq and is a predicted model, not a curated record. Lineage: Eukaryota; Viridiplantae; Streptophyta; Magnoliopsida; Ericales; Theaceae.